RNAcentral lists this non-coding RNA (29 nucleotides) under Homo sapiens (human). Lineage: Eukaryota; Metazoa; Chordata; Mammalia; Primates; Hominidae. The record is from RNAcentral.
UGCUAGUACUAGGAUGUCACAAAACCAUU